RNAcentral lists this long non-coding RNA (208 nucleotides) under Carica papaya (papaya). RNAcentral describes it as "long non-coding RNA (CPAP_LNC004245)". Lineage: Eukaryota; Viridiplantae; Streptophyta; Magnoliopsida; Brassicales; Caricaceae. The record is from RNAcentral.
AAAUGGGCCAGGAUGAAGCCCAAACAAAAACUAUAUGAUAGCUGACUUCUUGAAGAACAUGUGAAGCACAAGUUUUCCCAAAAAGAUUAAAAAUUGAACAAGUUAUGGAGUUUUGAAGUAACGGUAUAGGCAUGGGCCUAGCUUUAUGUGCGGUUUGGACCUUUUGGGCCUUAAGGGGACCAAAUAUGGUCGUUUUGAGCCCAAAUUU